GACGAACGCUGGCGGCGUGCCUAAUACAUGCAAGUCGAGCGGACGAAUCGAAAGCUUGCUUUUGAUUCGUUAGCGGCGGACGGGUGAGUAACACGUGGGCAACCUGCCCUGUAGACGGGGAUAACAACGAGAAAUCGGUGCUAAUACCGGAUAACACGAAAUUUCGCAUGACGUUUCGUUGAAAGACGGCGCAAGCUGUCGUUACAGGAUGGGCCCGCGGCGCCUUCGCAAGUUGGUAAGGUAACGGCUCACCAAGGCGACUAUGCGUAGCCGAACUGAGAGGGUGAUCGGCCACACUGGAACUGAGACACGGCCCAGACUCCUACGGGAGGCAGCAGUAGGGAAUCUUCCGCAAUGAACGAAAGUCUGACGGAGCAACGCCGCGUGAGCGAAGAAGGCCUUCGGAUCGUAAAGCUCUGUUGUUAGGGAAGAACAAGUAACGCAGUAACUGGCGUUACCGUGACGGUACCUAACGAGAAAGCCACGGCUAACUACGUG
RNAcentral lists this ribosomal RNA (498 nucleotides) under uncultured bacterium. RNAcentral describes it as "partial 16S ribosomal RNA". It matches the Rfam family "Bacterial small subunit ribosomal RNA", at positions 28 to 507 of the family's 1533-position model. The record is from RNAcentral.